CAGACUUGUUUAUAGGGUUCAGCCGUCGUUCUCGUCGGUGUAUUUCCCUAUUAUCAGGCCAGCAUCAGUUUGGGUGGAAGGUUAAAGGCCUUGGGAAUGUGACAUCCUCCGGGUUGUUUUAUAGCCCUUGGUGUAAUGCUUCCUACCUAGACUGAGGCACGCGUUCGCUAGGAUGCUGGCGUAAUGGCUUUAAGCGACCGUCUUGAAACACGGACCAAGGAGUCUAACAUAUAUGCGAGUGUU
Molecule: ribosomal RNA, 243 nt
Filed under: Pacispora scintillans
Lineage: Eukaryota; Fungi; Glomeromycota; Glomeromycetes; Diversisporales; Pacisporaceae
Source: RNAcentral